This 936-nucleotide long non-coding RNA is filed under the name Oryza sativa Indica Group (long-grained rice). RNAcentral describes it as "lncRNA OsMH63_10G008670". Lineage: Eukaryota; Viridiplantae; Streptophyta; Magnoliopsida; Poales; Poaceae. The record is from RNAcentral.
CAUGAUGAGGCAGGAGUAGUUGUCCGGGUCGACGAGCGCCGGCACGAGGUAUCGCCGGCCGUUCCGGCCGACGACGUUGUACCCGGCGCCGGUGGCCGCGUCCACCCUCACGGCGCCCGGGUAUCCCGGGUACGCGCCGCGGCCGUACACCCCCGGGCACGCUCCGGCCACCUCCACCGGCGCCGCCGCGUCGCCCUGGAAGUAGCCGCGCCCGUACGGGUUCGUCACCGCGCCGGCCAUCAGCGCCGCCAGGUUGAUCACCACGCCGUCCACCCCGGCGUCGCCGUUCGGCGCGCGGAGCGCCACGUCGUGGCCUCCGCGGCGUGGAACGGCCACGCGCACCGGCCGGGGCACUGCGCCGACGCGUCGCCCACCCACACGUGCACAGCGCCGCCGCCGGGCGCCGACGAGCCGUGCGCGCCGCAGGCGCUGGAGCAGAACCCCUCGACGGCGACGUCGGCGGCGGUCAGCACGACGGCCACGCCGCCCGGCGCGACGCCGAGCCGCGCCGCCAGCCGCUCGACCUGGGCGCGCGACAGGCGCCUCCCGAGGGAGCACCCCUCGUCGUCCACCUGGCUGGCGAGCACCACGCGCGCCACCCCGGCGCCGCCGCCGCGGCCGGCCUUACGGACGUACCUCUCCACGGUGCCCCACCACCGCGCCACCGUCGGCGGCGGCGCCGGCCCCGGCGCGCCGAACGUGUGCGGCUGGUGGUCCCGCCCCCGCGGCGACAGCGACAUGAGGAAGUCGGCGACGACGGCCCUGUGGUGCGGCGGGAACGCGCCCACCGACACCGGCACGGCGCCCUCCAGCACCGCGCCGUCGUGGUACGCCAUCGCCGGCGGCGGCGGCUGGUACAGCGACGCCUCGCACGGCCGCGCCGACCAUCCCAUCACCACCACAACCACCGCCGCCACCGCCGCCGCGAGGAGAUGA